RNAcentral lists this ribosomal RNA (253 nucleotides) under uncultured bacterium. RNAcentral's name for it is "partial 16S ribosomal RNA". It matches the Rfam family "Bacterial small subunit ribosomal RNA", at positions 524 to 776 of the family's 1533-position model. The record is from RNAcentral.
UACAGAGGGGGCAAGCGUUAUUCGGAAUUAUUGGGCGUAAAGGGCGCGUAGGCGGUUUUUUAAGUCGGAUGUGCAAUCCCUGGGCUCAACCCAGGAACUGCAUCCGAGACUGGAAGGCUAGAGUACUGGAGAGGGAGGUGGAAUUCCACGUGUAGCAGUGAAAUGCGUAGAUAUGUGGAGGAACAUCGAUGGCGAAGGCAGCCUCCUGGGAUAACACUGACGCUCAUGCACGAAAGCGUGGGGAGCAAACAGG